RNAcentral lists this unclassified non-coding RNA (210 nucleotides) under Ascomycota sp. RNAcentral's name for it is "partial contains small subunit ribosomal RNA, internal transcribed spacer 1, and 5.8S ribosomal RNA". The stretch from base 1 to 47 matches the Rfam family "Eukaryotic small subunit ribosomal RNA", at positions 1785 to 1831 of the family's 1831-position model. Lineage: Eukaryota; Fungi; Ascomycota. The record is from RNAcentral.
AAAGUCGUAACAAGGUUUCCGUAGGUGAACCUGCGGAAGGAUCAUUACUGAGAGGGGGUCUUCCAGGCCCAACCUUCAACCCUAUGUUUUACUACCUUGUUUCUUUGGUGGGGCAGCCCACCAGAAGCAUUCUUAAACUCAUUAUAAAAUGUGUCUCUGAAUUAAAUAAUAAAUAAAUUAAAACUUUCAACAACGGAUCUCUUGGUUCUG